Molecule: long non-coding RNA, 1732 nt
Filed under: Sus scrofa (pig)
Lineage: Eukaryota; Metazoa; Chordata; Mammalia; Artiodactyla; Suidae
Description: lncRNA (ENSSSCG00050061403.1)
Source: RNAcentral
CAUGGGAAGGGAAGAACAAGUUGGCGCUAGUGAAUGAACUGAAGUGGUGUUAUCCUUCUGCCCUGGCUCUGAACUCUGUGUCAGGAGCCAAGAGACCAAUAGUGGACCUGCCUGAAGGGGUUUAGCGCCUUCCAUGAUGACAAGCUCUUUGGCGGCAUCUACACAGCAUAAGCGUGGAGACCUGGUGUGCAGCCGCCGGACCCGAAGGCAGGCUCCUUCCUGGAUGAGCAGGCGAGGAUGGCAGCGUUGUCUCUGGAUCCAGAAGGCCAGUGGUGGAAGCCGAAGGCCAGGCCAGGCUCCAUGGGGCUGAGACCCCUCCUCUGGCGGUGGUGGCAGGAGAGAUCCCAAGGAGUGGAGCCAUUCCCUGGGGAAGCCCCUGAAAGUGCAACAGUGGGUGUGACAGAGGAGCAGCAAUGGGCUGGAGACCUUCAGGGGCCAGGGACCUCCGUCGUCAAUGUUUGGGUCCCGGCCGGGAUGGACUUGGGUGAUGGAGAAGCCUGGUCCAGUGACUCUUCAGUGGGAAGACCGGGGCGCAGGGAAGAAGGUGUCACGAGACCGGCCUGGUGGAUGCAGGUUAUCUGAUGGAUGGCUCAAGGGGGCCCGGACUCUGUCCUGGCAGGGAUCUGUGUCCUUGUGAAGAAACGGUGGUCCCGUUUAGGGGACUGAGUGCAGCCCAGCCCCAGCCUGACCUUCAACCCCCAAGCCCUGAGGUUCUGCCUCCUUGGGCUCGUAGCAGAAUCACCUGGACCCCGGGGAAGGAGCAGAACCGGCUGACGCUUGAGUCUGCUGAGUGCAGAAAGGGCGAGUCAGUGGCGGUCCUCCUCGCUUUCCCUGUCUCUCUGUCACUGUCCCUGACUCUCUGUCUCGGUGGCUCUGCCUCGGUCUGUCCCUCUUGUCUCUCGCCUGGCUCUCUCUGUCGCCGUACGGGUCUCUUUCCUUUCUGGCAGCUUCGCGUCUGUGUGGUGGGGUGCACACCAGACCCCGGCGAGCCGAUUGGGCCCGUUUCCCUGGUGAGACCCCUAGACGAUUCCUUCAGUGGGGGAGAUGGCCAAGGAAGCAGUGUGGGGUGGAAGCCGAAGGCCGGGCCAGGCUGCGUGGGGCCGAGACCCCUCCUCUGGCGGUGGUGGCAGGAGAGAUCCCAAGUGUGUACCCCUCAGAGCAAUUGCACUGGAGAUGCUUUAGCAUCUUCCGUACGGACCCGAGCUCUGGGAUUGCCUCUGAACAUACGUGUUAGGACAUGGGAGAGUCACAGGACAUGCUCCCGCUCUUUCGGCUUCUGCUGAGCUCAAGAUUGUCAGGCCGCCUCCGCGCCAGCAAAGAAGCGAAGGAGGGUGCACCGGAGCUGAAUGCAGCUUUCUUCCUUGAUGAGCAGGACAGGAGCUCAAAGGGAUGUUGGCCUCCGCUGGGAUGAAGGCUCUCCUCUUGGAGUUGUUCUAGGAGAGACCAAGGGCCACACCCGCGGCAUUUGGAAGUUUCUAGGCUAGGGGUCGAAUCGGAGCCAUAGCCGCCGGCCUACACCACAGCCACAGCAACACAGGAUCCAAGCCACAUCUGCAGCCUACGCCACAGCUCAAGCAACGCUGGAUCCCUAACCCAUGGAGCAGGGCCAGGAAUUGAGCUCCCUUCUUCGUGGAUACCAGUCGGGUUUGUUACCGCUGAGCCACAAUGGGAACUCCCCAGCAUAACUGUUUUAAAAAGAUAUAUUACUGUGAGAAUAAACUUACCUAAUAAG